GAUGAACGCUGGCGGCGUGCCUAAUACAUGCAAGUCGAGCGAACGGACGAGAAGCUUGCUUCUCUGAUGUUAGCGGCGGACGGGUGAGUAACACGUGGAUAACCUACCUAUAAGACUGGGAUAACUUCGGGAAACCGGAGCUAAUACCGGAUAAUAUUUUGAACCGCAUGGUUCAAAAGUGAAAGACGGUCUUGCUGUCACUUAUAGAUGGAUCCGCGCUGCAUUAGCUAGUUGGUAAGGUAACGGCUUACCAAGGCAACGAUGCAUAGCCGACCUGAGAGGGUGAUCGGCCACCCUGAAACUGAGACACGGUCCAGAUUCCUACGGGAGGCAGCAGUAGGGAAUCUUCCGCAAUGGGCGAAAGCCUGACGGAGCAACGCCGCGUGAGUGAUGAAGGUCUUCGGAUCGUUAAACUCUGUUAUUAGGGAAGAACAUAUGUGUAAGUAACUGUGCACAUCUUGACGGUACCUAACCAGAAAGCCCCGGCUAACUACGU
RNAcentral lists this ribosomal RNA (496 nucleotides) under uncultured bacterium. RNAcentral's name for it is "partial 16S ribosomal RNA". It matches the Rfam family "Bacterial small subunit ribosomal RNA", at positions 28 to 506 of the family's 1533-position model. The record is from RNAcentral.